UAGGGAAUCUUCCACAAUGGACGCAAGUCUGAUGGAGCAACGCCGCGUGAGUGAAGAAGGUCUUCGGAUCGUAAAGCUCUGUUGUUGGUGAAGAAGGAUAGAGGCAGUAACUGGUCUUUAUUUGACGGUAAUCAACCAGAAAGUCACGGCUAACUACGUGCCAGCAGCCGCGGUAAUACGUAGGUGGCAAGCGUUGUCCGGAUUUAUUGGGCGUAAAGCGAGCGCAGGCGGAAUGAUAAGUCUGAUGUGAAAGCCCACGGCUCAACCGUGGAACUGCAUCGGAAACUGUCAUUCUUGAGUGCAGAAGAGGAGAGUGGAACUCCAUGUGUAGCGGUGGAAUGCGUAGAUAUAUGGAAGAACACCAGUGGCGAAGGCGGCUCUCUGGUCUGCAACUGACGCUGAGGCUCGAAAGCAUGGGUAGCGAACAGGAUUAGAUACCCUGGUAGUCCAUGCCGUAAACGAUGAGCACUAGGUGUUGGGGACUUUCCGGUUCUCAGUGCCGCAGCAAACGCAUUAAGCGCUCCGCCUGGGGAGUACGACCGCAAGGUUGAAAC
RNAcentral lists this ribosomal RNA (554 nucleotides) under uncultured bacterium. Its description in RNAcentral is "partial 16S ribosomal RNA". It matches the Rfam family "Bacterial small subunit ribosomal RNA", at positions 355 to 900 of the family's 1533-position model. The record is from RNAcentral.